CCCGCAACGAGCGCAACCCUUGCCUUAGUUUGCCAGCAGCUCGGGCUGGGCACUCUAAAGGGAACUGCCGGUGUUAAACCGGAGGAAGGUGGGGAGUGACGUCAAGUCCUCAUGGCCUUUAUGACCAGGGCUACACACGUACUACAAUGGCCGAUACAAAGGGCAGCGACACUGCGAGGUGAAGCCAAUCCCGUAAAAUCGGUCUCAGUCCGGAUUGGAGUCUGCAACUCGACUCCAUGAAGUUGGAAUCGCUAGUAAUCGUGGAUCAGCAUGCCACGGUGAAUACGUUCCCGGGCCUU
This 299-nucleotide ribosomal RNA is filed under the name uncultured Desulfobulbus sp. Its description in RNAcentral is "partial 16S ribosomal RNA". It matches the Rfam family "Bacterial small subunit ribosomal RNA", at positions 1086 to 1382 of the family's 1533-position model. Lineage: Bacteria; Pseudomonadati; Thermodesulfobacteriota; Desulfobulbia; Desulfobulbales; Desulfobulbaceae. The record is from RNAcentral.